UCAAAAAGGGCGAAAGAAAAGAGAAAAAAAAAUGUGAGAGAAUCACUUAAUUUCCACACAAUUUCUUUAACUAUCAAAAGACAAUUUUAUUAUACAAAAAAAAAAAUUGUUAUUGGCACUUCAAAUUUUUUAUAUUUAGAAAAAAAAAAUACACUUGUGUAGAGUGUAUAAUGAAAUUUUUAGAGUACCAAUAACAGUUUCCUAAAAAAAUCUAGGUUUGUUUUUUUAUUAAUUAAUUAGGUUUUAUUUACGAACUAACUAUGUUGAUCACAUUUGGAAAAAAAAAAAAAAAAAACUAAAAUGAUAUGUACAUCGAAACAGGAAACGAAUAAAUAGCAACAAAAAUUCAUUCGGAAACAGAGUGGCAACCUGGAAAUUUUGAGAAACUCUUGGGGCAAAGAGUUGACAUUCUCCCGCUACACUCCCAUAUAGUAUAAACACUCUCAUCACGCACACUGUUUCUCAACGCACCCAAACGACCACUCUCUCUCUCUCUCUCUCUAUGACAACCAUGAAUGAGCCACCUCUCUCCCGUCGCAGAAGGCCCACUUGCCACCAGCCCAAGAAGCUGAAGCUCGUCUGCUGCUUCAACGGCGCAUUCCGCUCCCGCCCGCCGUCCGGGAAGCUACGCUACGUCGGCGGCGAGGCCAGAAUUGUGUCCGUGGACCGUAACAUCGGGCUCUCGAAGCUCCGAUCAAAUAUUUUGGAUCUUUGCCCCAGCAUUAACUCCACAUUCACUCUCAAGUUCCAGCUCCCGUGUUCCGGCUCCGGCUCCGAUUCCGCCGCCCCUCUCGCCCUCAUCGCGUCAGAUGACGACGUUCGGUGCAUGAUCGAAGAGUACGACAAGCUCGAGCUGUACGGUAAGUCACCAAGGCUCUGGGUUUUUGUUUGUUGUAGAAAUGGCAGUGAUAAUGUCAAUGGUUAUGUGAAUUGCGUGAAAGGUGUGAACUUUAGUGAUGGGUUUGAGUCAGAGAGCGAACAUGUAGGGACCCACCGCCGCCAUUUGAGCGGCGGAGCUCAGGUGGAGAAGAAGGCGGCGGUGAAGAACUUUGGAGGCGUACGGUCCGGCGAUGAAUCGCUGAGAAAAAUGGUGUUGAAACAGCAAUUGCUUGCAAAGCAAUCGGCUUUUCGCCGUCGUUUUGGUACUAGUGAGAACGAUGUGGAAAUAGGGUUUUUGGGUGAAUCCCAAAAGUGUGAAUCUUUUGAUCAGGGCAGAGACUUGUUGGAUGACAGAUUAGGGAGUAAUUGUUUUGAUAAUGUAGGGAGUUUUUUGGUGUCUCGGGCUAAUCCGCUGAAUCCCAGAGAUGGGAAUUUGAGGGUGGUAGGUAAGAGUUUUGGGCAGUGCUGUCCGGCAUGGUCGGGUCGGAUUUUGUGUAAUGGGGUUGGGAGGUCGAGUCAGGAGGUGGCAACUGCGCUGCCUGCGAAACCAUUACCGGGUUGUAAUGGUUGUUGUGGUGAUGUUAAGCAGGAUUUUGGAAACAAUGCAAUGGCUGGGAUUAGUUAUGUGAACAGAGAAAACGUUAUGCCUUUGGAGGCCAAUUGUGAUUUGGUGAAGAACGGAUUGAGCUGUAAUUCUGGUGCUGAUUCUUUGGCUGGAACUACUGCGUAUCCUGUGAAGUCUUCUUAUAGUGGUGAUAUGGUGUGGGGAGGCUUAAUGAGCGGGAUUCGUAACCAUAGAUUUGGUGUCAAUGAUGCUAGAAAUCAGCGGUGUUAUCAGUACCAUGUUCGGAAUCAUCAUUGGAGCAACAUGACUGAGAUGGGGAUCAGACGAACGAAGCAGGGGAUUUCAGCUUGGAAAUGCUACCCCGGACUUAGGCCGAAUUUGAACAUUGCAAAGCAAGGGCAGUCUCUGAGAGUAUAUCAUCCGAGUAUAUGGAGGCAAUGUUCUGGUUUUCCUGAGCAUGCAGUGGAAGAAAGGGUGAGGAUGACGGAUUCUUGUUCAAUGAAAGACAACUACUUGAUCGAUGUGCUAUAUGGUAAUGAGAAACGUAGUAAACGGAGUGGCCCUGCAGUUUCACAGCAAAGGAAUUAUAAUCCGAGCAAAUCCUAUUCAGGUUUUUGUGGUGCAUUUACUGGCGUGGGAAAUCAAUCUCUCAUGAGUUCUAAUGCCAUUGAGAGUUCAUCUUCAUCUGUGAAGACAAUGGACAUUCUGGAAGAUCUCUUAACUGGUUCUGAUUUUGGGAAGUGUGAUGGUCCAUAUCAAACUUCACAUGAAAAUUUUCAUGGAAUGUCCGGAAACUGUGAGUUUCAGAAGGAGAUGCGCCUGUUGGACUCUUAUGAGGUUGCUAACACCUCUGACUUUCUAAAUGAUGUGGGAUGUAGUAUUGAAAUUAGAUUGGAUGGUGAUAACAAAUUGGCUAAUGGGGAAGCAGUCAUCGACGCUUUACACAAUUUCAAAAACAGCAUUAAUGACAUACAGGUCUCAUGUAGCAGAGUCCCAGCUUCAUUGAGUGUUUCUUUGCAUAACCUUUCACUGUCAUCAUCCAAAGAAGUGGAAGCUCUGCAACUCUCUUCUCAUGCCAUCAGUGUUGUGUGUUCUGAUGUCUUGCUAAAACAUCAAUCAAAGCCUAUAGAUCUCAUGGAUGAAGGGACAAUUAACCCCAGUUCAUUGUGUUGAUAAAUCGAACAGAGUUGCACAUAACCCUACCUCCCAGAAUUCAGCUAAGACAGAGAAAGGUAAUGUGCAUGAUGAGGAGCUUCGACAGGAUCCUUCAUCUAUUAUAACCUUUGAUGAAAAGGCCAACAAUAAAGUGAUUGGUGGAACCUCCAGUGACCUUGCUGCGUUUUAUUCUCAUCUAGCCACUCGAGAGCUUCAG
Molecule: RNA transcript, 2816 nt
Organism: Pyrus x bretschneideri (Chinese white pear)
Lineage: Eukaryota; Viridiplantae; Streptophyta; Magnoliopsida; Rosales; Rosaceae
Gene name: serine/threonine-protein kinase CTR1-like
Exons: 2
Source: RefSeq, a predicted model, not a curated record